This 469-nucleotide ribosomal RNA is filed under the name uncultured bacterium. Its description in RNAcentral is "partial 16S ribosomal RNA". It matches the Rfam family "Bacterial small subunit ribosomal RNA", at positions 28 to 507 of the family's 1533-position model. The record is from RNAcentral.
GACGAACGCUGGCGGCGUGCUUAACACAUGCAAGUCGAACGGAAAGGCCCUGCUUGCAGGGUGCUCGCGUGGCGAACGGGUGUGUAACACGUGGGUGAUCUGCCCCUUACUUUGGGAUAAGCCUGGGAAACUGGGUCUAAUACUGGAUAGGACCAUGCUGUAGGUGGUGUGGUGGAAAGAUUAGUUUCGGUAAGGGAUGAGCUCGCGGCCUAUCAGCUUGUUGGUGGGGUAUUGGCCUACCAAGGCGUCGACGGGUAGCCGGCCGGAGCGGGUGGACGGCCACAUUGGGACUGAGAUACGGCCCAGACUCCUACGGGAGGCAGCAGUGGGGAAUAUUGCACAAUGAGCGCAAGCCUGAUGCAGCGACGCCGCGUGGGGGAUGACGGCCUUCGGGUUGUAAACUCCUUUCAGCCAUGACGAAGCCCUGGUGGUGACGGUAGUGGUAGAAGAAGCACCGGCUAACUACGUG